Molecule: long non-coding RNA, 1918 nt
Organism: Mesocricetus auratus (golden hamster)
Lineage: Eukaryota; Metazoa; Chordata; Mammalia; Rodentia; Cricetidae
Exons: 2
Source: RefSeq, a predicted model, not a curated record
GGGAUUGACAUGUGAAGCAAGCUUGUUUCUAACUUAAAUAAAAAAAUAUCUGGGCAUGGGAGUGGGUCCCAGUGACCCUAGUACAAGGGAGGCAGAGUCAAGCAGAUUCCCCUGGGUUUGUUGGCCCAGCCUAGAAGAAUCAGCAGGCUCCAAACUGAUGAAAGACUGUGUCUUAAAAGCUCCAACAUUGCCUCAAACAAAAGUAAGUAUUCAAGAGUAUAGUACUUGGGAGGGAUUUCAAUAGCAAUAAAGAAAACACAUGACAAUUUGUAUAUUUAUGGCCCCUGGGGUGAUAUUUUACCACAUGUGUAUGCAAUAUGGAACAGUGAAUAAGAGCAGUAUACAUCCCUGCUGUGGAGUAAUCCUUUUGCUCACUGUGAAUAUGUAUUAUUCUAAUUGGUUAAUAAAGAGCUGACUGGUCAAUGGCUAGGCAGGAUUUUCAGGGCAGAGAGAAUUCUAGGAAGAAGGGCAGAGUCUGAGGAGUCUCAAGCCAGAUUUGGAAGAAGCAACAUGGAAAGUUCAUAGAUGAGGUAAAUGAGCCUCGGGGCAGCACAUAGGUUAAUAGAAAUGGAUUAAUUGAAGUUGUAAGAGCUGGCUGGAGACACACCUAUGCCAAGCAUUUAUAAUUAAUAAUAAGUUUCUGUAUGGUUAUUUGGGAGUGGCUUGCAGGACAGACCUGAUCAGAGUUGUAGACAGAAACCUCCCCCUACACAUCCCCGCCACACUGGACACUCACUAUCACUUCACAGGAUGGGUGACAACAAGCUAUUGUGCCCGUGCCCAUGCCUGUGCCUGUGCCUGGUGACUGACUGGCUGCUGCCUCUGGAAACAUGGCUGCUGAAGGAUUCCGGGGAGCUCUCAGCAAAGGACUUGGUGCGCUGAUGUAUUCACCCUGGAGAGUGAUGGGAAUUCAGUGACACCAGAGGUGGGUGACAAAGCCUUCAACACCAUCUGGCACGUGGAAAGGUCUCAGAAGGGCUGAGAGCCCUCCACAAGGACCUUCCUGGAGAGCACCCUGCAGGAGACACAGAGUUCUGGAAAAUUAUCAGAAUUAUUUCUGCUGCUGGUAACCUUGACCUGUUGGAAGCCCCUUGCAUUAUGGUAAACUGAGGUAUCACUGGUAAGGAUUCCAGACCUGCCCCAGGGUUUACAGCCAUCUGUAUAGGGACCUUAACAUCAAUGAGGCUGAGAGGGUCAAUGUGUCACCUCCACUCAUGGUGCUAGCACCUGCCUGGCCAGAUGCGAGCUGAAAAUGUAAUGAACAAGACAGGAGUCUCGGACAUUGUCCUUGGGAUGUGUAGUUUAAAGUCAGAGGCUGAUGGCAUCGUCAUGGGCAGCUCUGGAGAGAAACGAAGAUACCUGUGCCUUUAACUGGGUGAGAAGCAAAAGCAGAGCUGGUGUCAGUGAGCCUCCCCUGCAGUAGUGAACCCCAUCCCCUGUGCCACCCUUCCCCUCUAAGAGAAAUGGCAGCCAUGGGGCUGCCCAAGAAGGUAAACUUCAAAUGCAGGCUCAUGCUAUGGGGUUUAGAGAGACUGCUGUGAGAGAUUUUGGGGCACUCAGCCCUGAGUAGGAUGUCUUCAUCAAAGACUAUCCUCAAGACUCAGGGGACAGGAGGCAGAGAUUGUAAGAGCCAGGGGUGAUGGCUGACUCUUCCAGACUCCAUAGGGCUGAUAAGCAUAUGCCCUCACAGCCUAUGGCAGCAUGAACAAGACCUGCACAGGUUCAAGCAGACAGGGUCCCAGGACUGGGACGGGGAGUGGACACAGGCAGGCUCCCAUCCCUAACCAAGAAGCUAUCUAUAGCUGGUACCCAUCGGAAAAGAAAAAGUCAUUUUACUCCAAUGGAGUCUCACUGGGAAUAUUAACCACAUCUUAGGGCAGGUCUCAUGCCCAGGAAUAGAUGACCAACACAAAAUUAA